GUGAAAUGAACCCUGGACAAAUGAUUACCCAGGGGAAUACCAAGGUUUGCUCGUGAUUACUGAGGAGAAUACCAAGGUUUGCUCACGAUUACUGAGGAGAAUACCAAGGUUUGCUUGUGAUUACCGAGGAGAAUACCAAGGUUUGCUCUUGAUAUUCAUCAGUGCGUGUCCUGGAGAAGAAUGAGCCGAGGAGCAGCCGAAGGAGGACCGGUUCUGCCCACAGGGUGUUCUGAUGUGAUUGUCUUACGACAUUAUAAUUAUUGUGUACAGGGAGACUUUAACUUCACAACUAUUUAGUCCAUUCUUUCCUCUAGGGGCAGCUACUGACCCAAGAGACAUCUACCCUCUCCUUAGAACAGUUUCAUCUCACCUAUAAAACGACACAAUUUCAUUUCCCAAAGGCCUGUAAUCGAGUCAAAACCUUGAGAGACACAGUUCACUUGGAAAGCGUAGUUGUACCUGUGUUUAUCUACUCUAUCACAGAUCAGCCUAAGCACCUGAGCUCUGCUCCAGACUUCUCUUGCCGGGGAUCAGCUUUCUUUGAUAAGGUCUCCAAGUCCAGAUAAGGGCUCCAUUUCAAAGCUGCCCCGAAUCCC
Molecule: long non-coding RNA, 596 nt
Organism: Alexandromys fortis (reed vole)
Lineage: Eukaryota; Metazoa; Chordata; Mammalia; Rodentia; Cricetidae
Exons: 3
Source: RefSeq, a predicted model, not a curated record